CCCUCUCAUCCGGGUGGUGAGCCCUCCAGCAGUCCAGGAGCUGCGAGCGUCUGAGGAGGGCCCUGAUCUGUGUCAAGUGUUGUGGCGGGACUUGUGAUGUUCUGGAGGACAAGUCCCAUUUUGGGUCCAUGGCCAGGUUAAAGUCCCCCCCAGGAUCAAAAUGCCCUCUGUGAAGGACAGUAGCUCUCGUAAAGUACGGGUUAGGAACCUAUAGUGCCUCUGGUUGGGGGCGUAUAUAUUAGCAAAAGUAUAGGUUGACCCCGCUAUCGUACCCUUCAAGAACAGUAACCUCCCCUCUGGGUCAGUUAAUGUUGCCUCUUCCCGAAACGGGAACCGUUUGUGCAAAAGGAUAGCCACCCCUCUCGACCUGCCCGUGCUAUGGUUGCUAAAGUAUCCGGUAGUGUAGCGGUGGUCUGUCAUUUUGGGCCUAGAUCCUGCUCAGAAGUGUGUUUCCUGAAUAUAUACAAUAGACGCUUUAAC
Non-coding RNA from Pelobates cultripes (western spadefoot toad), 480 nucleotides. The record is from the annotation of a GenBank genome assembly. Lineage: Eukaryota; Metazoa; Chordata; Amphibia; Anura; Pelobatidae.